This 69-nucleotide transfer RNA is filed under the name Acanthotermes acanthothorax. RNAcentral's name for it is "tRNA-Ser". The record is from RNAcentral. Lineage: Eukaryota; Metazoa; Arthropoda; Insecta; Blattodea; Termitidae.
AGUUAAAAAGCCAGUAGCGCCUAAUGUCUUGAAAACAUUAAAAAAGAAGUUUAAGUCUUCUAUUAACUU